Mus musculus (house mouse) is the source of this 3077-nucleotide long non-coding RNA. RefSeq annotates it as predicted gene 12198. The record is from RefSeq and is a predicted model, not a curated record. The transcript has 2 exons. Lineage: Eukaryota; Metazoa; Chordata; Mammalia; Rodentia; Muridae.
CCGCCUGCAAAAGAAAGGGGCGUUAGACUUAGCGGAGACCUCGGAGACUCUGAGCCUGUCGGCGGAGCCCGGCGCCCCCAGCCCUUGCCUCAGUUGAAGAAAAGGGACAUUCCACCACGAAGCCUCCAGGAAGGGGCGUUGACAGGACCACCAGUCCGGAACCACGUCGCCUGCGGGCCGUCCCCUCUAGAGGACCAAGCCAGCAAAAGAGCUGCCCCAGUGGAUUCCCAAUUGAGGUUCCUCGGACACCUCGCAGUUACCCUAAAGAGCGACCCCAUCAAAGUGCCCUCGCUCCUUAAUUAUACCGUCCUUGGUAGGACACGGGGCUCCUCGGAAAUUAUUCCACCUUGGUCCCCUGCUCAUGCACCCUGACCCUUCAGCGGUCCCUGCUGCCCAAAUGUCCUCACCAUUGGCCUCCGGAGCAACCAGGUUCAUAGGCGGCCUGUCCUCAGUCCAGCAUCGGGCAGCCCACUGUCAGCCCCCCUCGCCCCGUACACUUAAGCCCGGGAGAGGUGGAGCAGGGUCCCACUAAUCUCCGGGGAACCUCUCCGGGACAACCCAUCCAAUGCUCAGGGCCCGCAGGCGGCGCGCUCCGCACCGGCUCCUCCCGAGCGUCCCCGGGCGCCGCCUUGCCCUGGCUCCCCCGGACCCGCUGGUGCUGGUUCUGCGCGCUCCGCCGCUGGGUUUUCCCGGCCCUCCAGCGCCACACUCUGCAUCUCGAGAGAGGCAAGUGCUCCGAGGCUCCUUGCGUUCCAAGGCAUCGGGGUGCGCCCCCUGCGCGACCGCCCCGGCCCCGAAGUUGGCCAACUUGGCCCCGGGCGCGGCGCACAGAGUUUGCCCAAGUCGCCUCGGACGAUGCUUGAGGAAGGGUCGGCGGGACGCACCGGGCAGAUAAAGACACCUGUCUCUUUGCUCUUCCACUCGCCCUUCCCCAAGCCAGUGUGGCAAGCCUAAAGCAGAAGGUACAGAGAUGACUCCCUAUGAACAAGAGGGCCCAGUCUUAUGAGGGAAACUACAUGAUUUGUACAACUGGUGGCUUUCAUGGUGACUUCAGAUCCUUGGUUCUGUCCUUCCUGGGGCAUGGUGUGCGGGCGUGGACCGCUGUAGUCUGACAACCACCCAGUGGCUUCCUUGCCUCCUGGGGACACCUGGAGUUGGAUCUACUCUUCAGAAACAGUGAUUUCUUGCUGUCAACAUUGAAAGAUGAUGAGAUUAUUGGACGCAGCAGCUUAUGUGUGUGCUUCCAGCACUAGGAAGUCUGAGACAGGAGGAUAGCCAUGACUUUGAGGUUAGCCUGGUCGACAGAGUGAAAUCCUCUCUUAAAACCAACAACCCUCAAAAGAAGGGGGGAUGGAAAGAAAGGUAAAACUGUGACAUUUUAGUUUUUAAAAAUAUAUUUCUAAAAUUUCUGGAGGAAUUGGGAAGGGUGGCCAAAAUGAGCCCACAUUCCUGUUUAGCCACAAUUAUUAAAUGAGAUAUUUAUCUGUCAGUUUGCUGAAGGUCCACUCCCCACACAUGUACCGUGAAGACACGAUCAUUCUGAACUCUGAUGAUCCAUUUUGUCCCAAAGUUGGAGCUGGAAUCCCAGUGUGGCAGAAAGAAGCAGGUGCUGGAGCAAGGUAUCCUCAAACACACGAGUGUGGACUGAGCCGGAAGAUGACAGGAACAGGCAGGUCGGGGCUGGGCUAGGCGAGCUGGAGACAGCAUUCGCCUGUGAUUCUCCAAGCCAGAUGAAGGAAGCAAACCCAGUAGCUUCACCUACUUCAGGGCCUCUCCCCUCCCCCUCAUCUUCCUGCCAUGCGAAUGGUCAUUAUCAGUUUUAUUUUUUCCACCACCUACCACUUCUACUGCUACCUCCUUAUGUAGCACUUAAUAGUUUACUUCCAAAAACAUUGAAGGAUACUUUAAACCAGUGCCAUAAAGCAAGAGCCAGGGUCUCUCCAUUUCACCAUAAAUCAAAAAUCACUGUCCCUCAAAUAAAUAAAAUGAGAAGUGAGAAGAGGAGCCAGGUCCUAGCUACUACUGCCCACCCCAAGGGGGUGCUGAAGCUGAGAAGCCAGUUUGAGACAGACUUCGGAGUGGGGACAGCGGAAGCCCUUCACCAGCCUGGCCUACCUAGAAGCCCUCACAGGAAACCGCUGCAAGAUGCUACGAGUGAAUCGGGCACAUAGACUUCAAACUUCAGCACUUUGGUGGAGACUGAGGGUUAUUGCCAUGUCCCAGCUGACUGCUUAUCUGUGUGUGUGUGUGUGUGUGUGUGUCUGUCUGUCUGUCUGUCUGUCUGUCUGUCUGUGUGUACACACAUGGCUGAGUUAGCAGAGUGCUGGCCUACUAUCCCCCAGCACUACAUAAAUUCCACACCCAGCACUUCAGAGGUUGAGGCAGGAAGAUCAAAAGCAGCAAGUUCAAGUUUGGGGGCUGGAGAGAUGGCCCAGCAGUUAAGAGCAGUGGGUUCUUCAAGAGGACUGGGUUCAAUUUCCAGCACCCACAUGGCGGCUCACAACUCUCUGUAACUCCAGCUCCAGGGGGGAAUCCAGCGCCCUCCUCUGGUCUCUAUUGGCACUGCAUGCACAUGGUACACAUAGAUGUAGGCAAAAUUACACAUAAAAUAAAAAUAAAAUCUUCUUUAGAGAAAGAAUGAAAGAAAAAGUCUCCAGCCCUCAGUUACUCUGCAGAAAGGGUCCCAGCUCUUACUCUGUCCUGGGUUUCCUGAUCACAGAUGCCAGGACAAACUUCCUUAGAUAAAGGAGCCUUCUGAGAGCCAUCCCUGUGCACAGAUGUCUGAUGGAAAGCAGCUCCCAGAAGGCAUUCUGCUCCUAUUUCAAGGUCACCUUCCUUGGCAGGGCCUUCCAAGUGGAUGCAGGCUGUGGUGAUUUACAACCCUCCUUCCCAAACAGCAAGUUCAGGGGUUGUGAGAAAGGACUCGGACUCGUCCCAUCCCUCUGGGACCCAUGUACAGAGCAUCUCAAGUGAGAGGAGUUAGUGACCUUGUCAUGGAGACUCUGGAGCUCUAUCCAACUCCAGGGUUGGCAAACAGCAGGUGCGGUGGCCCCGUCAGAUGCACUGGAAGAGUUCUG